GGGUUGUGAGGUUAAGCGACUAAGCGUACACGGUGGAUGCCCUGGCAGUCAGAGGCGAUGAAGGACGUGCUAAUCUGCGAUAAGCGUCGGUAAGGUGAUAUGAACCGUUAUAACCGGCGAUUUCCGAAUGGGGAAACCCAGUGUGAUUCGUCACACUAUCAUUAACUGAAUCCAUAGGUUAAUGAGGCGAACCGGGGGAACUGAAACAUCUAAGUACCCCGAGGAAAAGAAAUCAACCGAGAUUCCCCCAGUAGCGGCGAGCGAACGGGGAGGAGCCCAGAGCCUGAAUCAGUGUGUGUGUUAGUGGAAGCGUCUGGAAAGGCGCGCGAUACAGGGUGACAGCCCCGUACACAAAAAUGCACAUACUGUGAGCUCGAUGAGUAGGGCGGGACACGUGGUAUCCUGUCUGAAUAUGGGGGGACCAUCCUCCAAGGCUAAAUACUCCUGACUGACCGAUAGUGAACCAGUACCGUGAGGGAAAGGCGAAAAGAACCCCGGCGAGGGGAGUGAAAAAGAACCUGAAACCGUGUACGUACAAGCAGUGGGAGCACGCUUCGGCGUGUGACUGCGUACCUUUUGUAUAAUGGGUCAGCGACUUAUAUUCUGUAGCAAGGUUAACCGAAUAGGGGAGCCGAAGGGAAACCGAGUCUUAACUGGGCGUUAAGUUGCAGGGUAUAGACCCGAAACCCGGUGAUCUAGCCAUGGGCAGGUUGAAGGUUGGGUAACACUAACUGGAGGACCGAACCGACUAAUGUUGAAAAAUUAGCGGAUGACUUGUGGCUGGGGGUGAAAGGCCAAUCAAACCGGGAGAUAGCUGGUUCUCCCCGAAAGCUAUUUAGGUAGCGCCUCGUGAAUUCAUCUCCGGGGGUAGAGCACUGUUUCGGCAAGGGGGUCAUCCCGACUUACCAACCCGAUGCAAACUGCGAAUACCGGAGAAUGUUAUCACGGGAGACACACGGCGGGUGCUAACGUCCGUCGUGAAGAGGGAAACAACCCAGACCGCCAGCUAAGGUCCCAAAGUCAUGGUUAAGUGGGAAACGAUGUGGGAAGGCCCAGACAGCCAGGAUGUUGGCUUAGAAGCAGCCAUCAUUUAAAGAAAGCGUAAUAGCUCACUGGUCGAGUCGGCCUGCGCGGAAGAUGUAACGGGGCUAAACCAUGCACCGAAGCUGCGGCAGCGACACUAUGUGUUGUUGGGUAGGGGAGCGUUCUGUAAGCCUGUGAAGGUGUACUGUGAGGUAUGCUGGAGGUAUCAGAAGUGCGAAUGCUGACAUAAGUAACGAUAAAGCGGGUGAAAAGCCCGCUCGCCGGAAGACCAAGGGUUCCUGUCCAACGUUAAUCGGGGCAGGGUGAGUCGACCCCUAAGGCGAGGCCGAAAGGCGUAGUCGAUGGGAAACAGGUUAAUAUUCCUGUACUUGGUGUUACUGCGAAGGGGGGACGGAGAAGGCUAUGUUGGCCGGGCGACGGUUGUCCCGGUUUAAGCGUGUAGGCUGAUUUUCCAGGCAAAUCCGGAAAAUCAAGGCUGAGGCGUGAUGACGAGGCACUACGGUGCUGAAGCAACAAAUGCCCUGCUUCCAGGAAAAGCCUCUAAGCAUCAGGUAACAUCAAAUCGUACCCCAAACCGACACAGGUGGUCAGGUAGAGAAUACCAAGGCGCUUGAGAGAACUCGGGUGAAGGAACUAGGCAAAAUGGUGCCGUAACUUCGGGAGAAGGCACGCUGAUAUGUAGGUGAAGCGACUUGCUCGUGGAGCUGAAAUCAGUCGAAGAUACCAGCUGGCUGCAACUGUUUAUUAAAAACACAGCACUGUGCAAACACGAAAGUGGACGUAUACGGUGUGACGCCUGCCCGGUGCCGGAAGGUUAAUUGAUGGGGUUAGCGGUAACGCGAAGCUCUUGAUCGAAGCCCCGGUAAACGGCGGCCGUAACUAUAACGGUCCUAAGGUAGCGAAAUUCCUUGUCGGGUAAGUUCCGACCUGCACGAAUGGCGUAAUGAUGGCCAGGCUGUCUCCACCCGAGACUCAGUGAAAUUGAACUCGCUGUGAAGAUGCAGUGUACCCGCGGCAAGACGGAAAGACCCCGUGAACCUUUACUAUAGCUUGACACUGAACAUUGAGCCUUGAUGUGUAGGAUAGGUGGGAGGCUUUGAAGUGUGGACGCCAGUCUGCAUGGAGCCGACCUUGAAAUACCACCCUUUAAUGUUUGAUGUUCUAACGUUGACCCGUGAUCCGGGUUGCGGACAGUGUCUGGUGGGUAGUUUGACUGGGGCGGUCUCCUCCUAAAGAGUAACGGAGGAGCACGAAGGUUGGCUAAUCCUGGUCGGACAUCAGGAGGUUAGUGCAAUGGCAUAAGCCAGCUUGACUGCGAGCGUGACGGCGCGAGCAGGUGCGAAAGCAGGUCAUAGUGAUCCGGUGGUUCUGAAUGGAAGGGCCAUCGCUCAACGGAUAAAAGGUACUCCGGGGAUAACAGGCUGAUACCGCCCAAGAGUUCAUAUCGACGGCGGUGUUUGGCACCUCGAUGUCGGCUCAUCACAUCCUGGGGCUGAAGUAGGUCCCAAGGGUAUGGCUGUUCGCCAUUUAAAGUGGUACGCGAGCUGGGUUUAGAACGUCGUGAGACAGUUCGGUCCCUAUCUGCCGUGGGCGCUGGAGAACUGAGGGGGGCUGCUCCUAGUACGAGAGGACCGGAGUGGACGCAUCACUGGUGUUCGGGUUGUCAUGCCAAUGGCACUGCCCGGUAGCUAAAUGCGGAAGAGAUAAGUGCUGAAAGCAUCUAAGCACGAAACUUGCCCCGAGAUGAGUUCUCCCUGACUCCUUGAGAGUCCUGAAGGAACGUUGAAGACGACGACGUUGAUAGGCCGGGUGUGUAAGCGCAGCGAUGCGUUGAGCUAACCGGUACUAAUGAACCGUGAGGCUUAACCUUACAACGCCGAAG
Molecule: ribosomal RNA, 2926 nt
Filed under: Escherichia coli
Lineage: Bacteria; Pseudomonadati; Pseudomonadota; Gammaproteobacteria; Enterobacterales; Enterobacteriaceae
Description: bacterial LSU rRNA
Rfam family: Bacterial large subunit ribosomal RNA
Source: RNAcentral